UUCCUACGGGGGGCAGCAGUGGGGAAUCUUGCGCAAUGGGCGAAAGCCUGACGCAGCGACGCCGCGUGUGGGAUGACGGCCUUCGGGUUGUAAACCACUGUCGGGAGGGACGAAGCUCUGACGGUACCUCCAAAGGAAGCACCGGCUAACUCUGUGCCAGCAGCCGCGGUAAUACAGAGGGUGCGAGCGUUGUCCGGAAUCACUGGGCGUAAAGGGCGCGUAGGCGGCCUGAUAAGUAGGGGGUGAAAUCCUGCGGCUUAACCGCAGGGCUGCCUUCUAGACUGUCAGGCGUGAGCACAGUAGAGGCAGGUGGAAUUCCCGGUGUAGCGGUGGAAUGCGUAGAGAUCGGGAAGAACAUCGGUGGCGAAGGCGGCCUGCUGGGCUGUUGCUGACGCUGAGGCGCGACAGCGUGGGGAGCAAACAGGAUUAGAUACCCUAGUAGUC
RNAcentral lists this ribosomal RNA (444 nucleotides) under uncultured bacterium. RNAcentral's name for it is "bacterial SSU rRNA". It matches the Rfam family "Bacterial small subunit ribosomal RNA", at positions 336 to 795 of the family's 1533-position model. The record is from RNAcentral.